This 19-nucleotide transfer RNA is filed under the name Hemiphractus bubalus (Ecuador horned treefrog). RNAcentral's name for it is "partial tRNA-Phe". The record is from RNAcentral. Lineage: Eukaryota; Metazoa; Chordata; Amphibia; Anura; Hemiphractidae.
UUAAAACUCCCCUAAACAC